GAUGAACGCUGGCGGCGUGCCUAAUACAUGCGAGUCGAGCGAACGGACGAGAAGCUUGCUUCUCUGAUGUUAGCGGCGGACGGGUGAGUAACACGUGGAUAACCUACCUAUAAGACUGGGAUAACUUCGGGAAACCGUAGCUAAUACCGGAUAAUAUUUUGAACCGCAUGGUUCAAAAGUGAAAGACGGUCUUGCUGUCACUUAUAGAUGGAUCCGCGCUGCAUUAGCUAGUUGGUAAGGUAACGGCUUACCAAGGCAACGAUGCAUAGCCGACCUGAGAGGGUGAUCGGCCACACUGGAACUGAGACACGGUCCAGACUCCUACGGGAGGCAGCAGUAGGGAAUCUUCCGCAAUGGGCGAAAGCCUGACGGAGCAACGCCGCGUGAGUGAUGAAGGUCUUCGGAUCGUAAAACUCUGUUAUUAGGGAAGAACAUAUGUGUAAGUAACUGUGCACAUCUCGACGGUACCUAAUCAGAAAGCCACGGCUAACUACGU
RNAcentral lists this ribosomal RNA (496 nucleotides) under uncultured bacterium. RNAcentral's name for it is "partial 16S ribosomal RNA". It matches the Rfam family "Bacterial small subunit ribosomal RNA", at positions 28 to 506 of the family's 1533-position model. The record is from RNAcentral.